GGGCCCGCACAAGCGGUGGAGCAUGUGGUUUAAUUCGAUGCAACGCGAAGAACCUUACCAAGGCUUGACAUACUACAGAUUUCUUUGAAAAAGGAAAGUGCCUUCGGGAAUGUAGAUACAGGUGGUGCAUGGCUGUCGUCAGCUCGUGUCGUGAGAUGUUGGGUUAAGUCCCGCAACGAGCGCAACCCUUAUUUUUAGUUGCUAAUUUAGUUUAGGUUUUCUAGAAAGACUGCCGGUGACAAACCGGAGGAAGGUGAGGAUGACGUCAAGUCAGCAUGCCCCUUAUGCCUUGGGCUACACACGUGCUACAAUGGUUAAGACAAAGAGUUGCGAGCUCGUGAGAGUCAGCUAAUCUCAUAAACUUAGCCUAAGUUCGGAUUGUAGGCUGCAACUCGCCUGCAUGAAGUCGGAAUC
This 414-nucleotide ribosomal RNA is filed under the name uncultured bacterium. RNAcentral describes it as "bacterial SSU rRNA". It matches the Rfam family "Bacterial small subunit ribosomal RNA", at positions 917 to 1333 of the family's 1533-position model. The record is from RNAcentral.